Long non-coding RNA from Cydia pomonella (codling moth), 1310 nucleotides. RefSeq lists it as uncharacterized. The record is from RefSeq and is a predicted model, not a curated record. NCBI's taxonomy places the organism in Eukaryota, Metazoa, Arthropoda, Insecta, Lepidoptera, Tortricidae. The transcript is spliced from 2 exons.
AUAUCUAAAAUAGGCCCUUGAGGCAUUGUACCAAGGAUGCUAGCGGCAUUUCCUCGUUGUAUCGCAAUACUGAUACGUUGUGCGAGGAAGCCGCCAGCUCUUCGGUCACCAGUUACGUCUACCUAUAGAUUAAAUAUACUCCAGGAGCCAAGUACUAAUAGCUGUAAACAUAUUGUUGGCUAAUAUGUUAGCACCUUAUAUGCCUAUAAGAUUUGAGGAGUUCCCUCAAGUCCUCAUGGAUUCCAUCUAUAUUAUAAGCCUAUACGGUGUUCUACUGCUGGGCAAAGGCCUCCCCCCUUGAUUUCCACUCGUCUCGGUUUUGAGCAAUCUCCGGCCAGUCGUUGAGAUAUGCGUCCAGGUCGUCCCGCCAUCUCCGUCUGGACCUAACUGAUCCUCGCCCGUCUUGCGGCACCCAUAGCGUGGUUAUUUUGGUCCACCUCUGUGGGUGCAUGCAGCAGACAUGGCAUGGAUUCUAUUAUCAGAACUAAAUUAGAGAAAAAUGCGUCCAACUUGAAAAGAAAGAAUUUUCCAAAUCCGUUCAUACUUGACGGAGUUCAGGGGGCCUACCGCGAAAACCGGAAUUCGCCAAUUGCGGGGAUCUUUCCCUUAUACUCUCACUAAGACGUAAUUAGAGUGACAGAGAAAAAUUCCCGCAAUUGACGAACUUCGAUUUUCGCGAUAGGCCCCCUGAGGUAGAAGGUCAUCAAAAAAAUACAGUCAAAUUAACAACCUCCUCCUUGUUUUAAUUUAAAGUCGGUUAAAAAUUAAAAACUUUACUAACUCCAAAUUUUCCCGGUUUAACGAUCCAUUUUUAAAAAGUCAGUAAAAGUCUAAAAUACAUUUUUACAGUACAUAUGGGGCUACUUUAUAGCACUAGUGCGAGAAGUAGCAUAUUAUGUUACUGUGUCGAACAUUUAAAGGGCCAUAUGUACUGUAAAACGUUGUACGAUACAUGUGCGAAUAGGUAAUUCGCACUUGUAUCGUAAUGUACUAUUAUCGUUGUUGUGCUCUGAGUUUCAUACAUAUUAAAUAGACUUAGUGGUUCCCGCGAACAUACUUAAAAGUACCCCGAACUGAUACCUGGCAAUACGCCAAAAAGAUAGAUCAAUUGAAUGCACUACUUAGCCAACAAACGAUCGAAAAUCGCGUGCGAUUUAUUGCAAGGUCUAUGGAGCCCUUUCUGAUAGAUUAAAAUAAACUGUAUCUAUGGUAAACCGUAAUCUUUCUUGUCAAAUGUCAAAUACCUACAAUAUGUUUAUUUUAUUAUGCUAAUUAUUUUGAAAUCGUAAAAUAAAACUCAUUAUUGUAAA